ACGCGUGGAUAACCUGCCGUAUGCAGGGGGAUAACAGUUGGAAACAGCUGCUAAUACCGCAUAAGCGCACAGUACCGCAUGGUACGGUGUGAAAAGAUUUAUCGGCAUACGAUGGAUCCGCGUCUGAUUAGCCAGUUGGCGGGGUAACGGCCCACCAAAGCGACGAUCGGUAGCCGGCCUGAGAGGGCGGACGGCCACAUUGGGACUGAGACACGGCCCAAACUCCUACGGGAGGCAGCAGUGGGGGAUAUUGGACAAUGGGGGAAACCCUGAUCCAGCGACGCCGCGUGAGUGAAGAAGUAUUUCGGUAUGUAAAGCUCUAUCAGCAGGGAAGAAAGAAAUGACGGUACCUGAGUAAGAAGCCCCGGCUAACUACGUGCCAGCAGCCGCGGUAAUACGUAGGGGGCAAGCGUUAUCCGGAAUUACUGGGUGUAAAGGGAGCGUAGACGGUACUGCAAGUCUGGAGUGAAAGGCGGGGGCCCAACCCCCGGACUGCUCUGGAAACUGUGUAACUGGAGUGCAGGAGAGGCAGGCGGAAUUCCUAGUGUAGCGGGGAAAUGCGUAGAUAUUAGGAGGAACAC
RNAcentral lists this ribosomal RNA (581 nucleotides) under uncultured bacterium. Its description in RNAcentral is "bacterial SSU rRNA". It matches the Rfam family "Bacterial small subunit ribosomal RNA", at positions 113 to 709 of the family's 1533-position model. The record is from RNAcentral.